GGGGUAUGGCUGAGGGGAAUCUAGAACACAGGCAGAGGAGGGAGAGUAUAAAUAUCAACUAACGCUCAGCACCAAAUGCAGAAGUGGUGAACGCUGCUUGGUCUACCAUCCUCUUGCUAUGUGGCAUUGGUCAGAAUUUAGUCAUGUGGACAUACCAAACUGCAAAUGAGGCUGGGAAAUGAAUUGUAGCUGCAUGCCCAGGAGGACGGAGGAAUAAUGAUCAAGUCUAAGUUGCUUUUUUUCUGCCUUUCCCUAUUUCAUUCUCUUCAACUCGGAGUGAUUUCAUUAGUUCUGCCUGCAUUUCAUUGGACAGAGGUGAGUCAUAUUACCAUAUCUAAUUAUUAAUCUAAGACAGGAUGAGAAAGGAAGUC
This 371-nucleotide long non-coding RNA is filed under the name Pan troglodytes (chimpanzee). RNAcentral's name for it is "long non-coding RNA NONPTRT015368". The record is from RNAcentral. Lineage: Eukaryota; Metazoa; Chordata; Mammalia; Primates; Hominidae.